RNAcentral lists this long non-coding RNA (3556 nucleotides) under Mus musculus (house mouse). RNAcentral's name for it is "predicted gene, 36757". The record is from RNAcentral. Lineage: Eukaryota; Metazoa; Chordata; Mammalia; Rodentia; Muridae.
GCUGUACAGAUACAGUUCCAUCGUCCUUAGAGCAAAAAGACUGACUGAAGAAUGCAGCCUAUGAAGGGGAUUUGAAGUGCGAGCCUCCAACAUGGCUGUGGUUCUGCCAGCAAGAGCAGGGUAUGUGGCUUGAAACAUUGUCCACCUGAUGUUUGCUUUUGCUUUUAAGACAGAUGCCAACACGGAAGCUAACAGUUUCUGACCUCAUAUGUAAACAACAGGCCAUUUCAGGGUAGCUUGCAGCUAUGCGUUAUAGUUGGGGAUGUUAGAGGGUCAUGCAGCACGGUCCUGGCAGCUGCCAGGAAGGAGAUGCCAGCUGGGGAGCUGAGGAUGGGGUCCAGGGCAGUGUGGACACUUGCCAUUCUCUGCAUAUAACGAGUAAGGUGGGUCUGGCAUCUUCUCGACACUGAACUAAAGCUACGUACACGGUCUUGGAAAUGCAGGAGGUGGUGGCACAUGGGCGUUUUCAUCUUAUGCAUGUGGUGCCUGUGGUGAGCAGAAGAGUGUGCCAGAUCCACAGGCGUGAGCUGCCAUGUGGGUCCCCGAAACAGAAUCCUCUGCAAGAACAAGUGCUCUUGACCACUGAGAUUCCCCCAGCCCUUCCUACCCGGGUCUUCGUGCCUGCCUGCAUUGUCUCAGUCCCAUCUGAUCUCAGCAGUGACCGCCGUCUCCGUCUUUAAGGGAGUGUUUGAAGACACUGUGCUGUGGGAAGAAGUUUCCAUGUGGAGCUUUUUCGGAGAAGGACCAGAGCUUGUGACGAGCCUCCAUGUAGUCAUCACCUGAUGGCACAUCUUCUCUUCGGUAUCCUCCAUAUUGUUCCCUUCUGCCCUAAUAUUCUGAAGCCACCAAGGAGCUUUCUGUUGACAACAUUGACCAGAUUCACUCCAGGAGCUGAAUUCUAGGCUGGGGCCCAGAAUAGAUGUGCUUAAACAGAGCUCUCUCAGAGUCUUGGCGGAGCAGCCAAGGCUGAGCGCUGGGACAUUGAGAGACCCCAGGGGAGGUGGAAGAGAUGAGUUUACCUGGAUCCGUUAAAGGACACUGGUAUCUUUCCUCCAAGUUCCUUCCAGAGAAUCAGCUGCUCCAGACAGGGACGAAUCCCCCUAAUGUCCCCUUCCCUACCUCCUCUUAUAGGGUCUUGGCAGGAAGAGAGCAAUGCCUUCCUGUCUCCUUGAUGACGUAUCAGCCGUGUCAGCCCCCCACCAGUGAGAGAAAAGGCCUGUGGGAUAUACCCAUCUGCAAGGGUUAACUGAGACACCAUGAGGAUAAAUGUUCCCUAGGCCUCAGCCAGCUGGAUCCCGUGAUCCAGAGCCUGGUGCUGGCACAGCCAGCAAACAAAGAUGCUUUGUUCAUGUACGAGAAUAAACACUUCCCCUGGAUAUUUACUCCCGGGCUCAAGUGUAAUAUGGGGUGUAAGUUACUCUUUAACAGGCAAUUGGAUACUGGCUGUUGAGUUCUGAACUAAUUUCCUGGAGGGAAGGGAUGGCUACAUCUGCCCAGGGGAUGACCAGCCUCAGGAGCGCCUAUGGCUGGCCAUUACCAGAAUCUGAGAACAGACACAGUGGCCACUGCAGGCUUCUCCAAGAGGCAGGGGAAGCGGAAUGAAAUGGAGGCCCAGCAAAGGGGAUGUUUAUUUUGCCAAGGCAAGGAACCUGCCUGUCCAUUCCCCUGCAUCCACACCAGCUGCUUGGGAGAAGGCAGUCAUCGUGUGCUUUGGGUGGGAAUAGGCUGUCCAGUGCCACGGUGCCCAGCCCCAAGCUCCAUUCCCACCAUUAACUGUUGCUACCCAAGUCUAAGCCUAGUCUUCUAGAUCAGAGGCAAUGGCUGACAUACCAUGACCUGUCAGUCUUUAGAACUUAAGUAAAACUGCACGGAGUGAGGCGUGGUGAUUGCUGGCAGGGUCCUUGUCUGGCAUGUGGCAGGCGCUGGGUUCCAUCCCUGACAUCUCAAAAGUAAAUGAAUAGCUACUGCACAUAGUUUUACAUGUCAAUCAUUAGAAACCUAGAUGAAGACUUUGGACAGAGAUUGUGUAGGAUCCACGGGGAGGAAAGGAAGCCAUCUCUCUUCCUACUGCCUGCUCUGAUUGGACCAUGGGAGACCUCUGCCCCAGGGAAGUUUGUCCUUGGCUUGCUAGAGACCUAUCGCUAAGUACAGAAAGAUGACAAGGCUAUUGACUUGCCCCUGCGUGGAUAUUUGGACCAGAAAAAGAGGAGGGAAUCACUUUGCAGGAGGAUGAUAUAAGUAAAUGACAUGUGGGCAUCAUGGAGGUCACUGCACAAUGCCAUCCUCUGUGGCGGGCACAGGAGGGCACCAGGAGACAGACUCAGGAAGAGGUGUGGAAGGAAGCAAGUCAGAAGCCCUCAGAGCAACAGAGAGCUGUCCUUUCCUUGACUGUGUGGUGGUUGGAAUGAGAACAGUUCCUGUUCGCUCAUAGAUUUGAAUAUUUGGUUCUUGGAAAGGUUCGAAGAUGUGGCCUUGUUGGAGGAGAUAAGAUCUACAAAAGCUCCUAGCAAUUGCUCUAGCACGAUGCCUGCCUGCCACAACGCUCCUCUCCAUGAUGGUAAGGACUCACCCUCUCAGACUAUAAGCAAGCCCCCAAUUAAGUACUUUCUUCUAAAGUUUAUCUUGCUCAUGGUGUCUCAUUAUGGCCAUAGAAAAGUAACAGAGACAACUUGUUUGGAUUCAGGGGCCAGCCACAGAACUAGGACCCAGGAUCCUGUGACCUGUCAGUAGAUCUGGGCACCAUGAGCUCCUGAGAGAGGCCAUCUCAGGAUGGCUACCUGUGGGCCCUGGGCUUCACUCUUCUUCGUGCUCCCAGCUGCUUUUAUUGACAAGUGGGGAGAUAAAGAAGAUUGGGAGUGGAGUCAGAGGCUGUCAUGUGUACACGUGAGCCUAGAGUCAGCCCACUUUCCACCUGUAGUAGACUUAGGUUGACCUGUAUCGGCUCAAACACUGAGUGGGUGGGGAUCUAACAGAUUUGGGUGGUCAAGAAGGGGAGGGUCUGAACCUGGGUUCUGAAGAGAUUGGAAACUUGCCUGUGGUGGCUAAAACUCAAGAAGCUAGGUUGACCUGUAUCGGCUCAAACACUGAGUGGGUGGGGAUCUAACAGAUUUGGGUGGUCAAGAAGGGGAGGGUCUGAACCUGGGUUCUGAAGAGAUUGGAAACUUGCCUGUGGUGGCUAAAACUCAAGAAGCUGGGUAUUUAAAAACAAUAAUUUGAAGCGGGAAGACCUACUUUAACCCCAGAUCUUUUGAGAUGGAAAGAUCCAUCUUUAAUCCGGGCCACACCUUCUGCUGGCAGAAGAUAAAGGUGAAGGGCAUGGGAUAAAGAAGUUUAUUCUUUUCCCCUGCUUGCUUUUGCUCUGCCUGGCAAGUCCAUUCCUCUCCUGGCCAUUAGAGCCUGCUUCUUUAGGAUUCCAGCAUAUACUGAAGAUCGGCUGAGACGGCCAGCCUCACAGACUGAUUCUUAGACCUUCUUCUGGUGUACAGCUGUUGCUGGACUAGCUGGACCAGAUCACAGCCUGUAAGCUAUUUCUAAUAAAACAUUUAAAAUGUAUAAA